RNAcentral lists this ribosomal RNA (252 nucleotides) under uncultured prokaryote. RNAcentral describes it as "partial 16S rRNA". It matches the Rfam family "Archaeal small subunit ribosomal RNA", at positions 475 to 726 of the family's 1478-position model. The record is from RNAcentral.
ACCGGCGGCUCGAGUGGUGGCCACUAUUACUGGGCUUAAAGCGUUCGUAGCUGGCUUGUUAAGUCUCUGGGGAAAUCUUCCGGCUCAACCGGAAGGCGUCUCAGGGAUACUGGCAGGCUAGGGACCGGAAGAGGUGAGAGGUACUCCAGGGGAAGGCGUGUAAUCCGGCAGGCCAUGAGGGACAACAUUUGGCGCAGGAGUCGCAACAGGACGGCUACGCCCGGGCGGAACGAAAUUGAGUGAAGCAAGGCG